AUUAGAUCCAUGGAUGGAUGUUGUUGUUUAUUCUUCAAUGUGUUUUCCCAUUUGUUAUCUACGAGAUUUAUCAGCUAAUGAGAGAGGAGUGGUAACAUCAGCACCUCUAAUUGUGGAUUUUUCUUUUCAGAUUUAUCAGCGUUUAUAAAUGGAUUUUGAAGUUCUGUAUCCAGAGGCAUGCACAUAUAGGACAGUUAUUUCUUUGUGUACUGCUCUCCACUUCAUUAUUCAAUCUUCUGAACAGCUCAAAGUACAGGAAAUGUCAAGGCCGUUGAUGGGAAAUCAGGACUCUACUAAAGGCACGUCUUCUCAAAGAUGACCCAGGGAAGAGCACGGUGGCUACCUAUUCCUCUGAAAGGGAAAGGAGGUGAAAGCCCAUGGGAAAACUGUAGUGCCACCACCAUCUCCCAUUCCAAAUUUUCCAGGACAGAAGAGAACACGUCUAAGUUGGGAGGACCGAUCCAGAACAGCCUUGCUAAUGUAACACAGCAAUCUCUUAAUUAUUAUCUGCUUUUGAAAAAGAAACCAAAAAACACCACCACACAUGGGAUUAUCUCUAGUUCUUUUUACAUGAGGGCUUCUAGAAGAAGGAGGUGUGAUUAUUUCUUCUGAAUCCUCGAAGGCAUAAGAAAGCACUCCCUGUUUCCGCUCGGUUUUGAACCAAGGACCUCUCGCGUGUCAGAGAGGGAGUUCGUGAGAGGGGUCUGCGAGCCUGACCAC
This 720-nucleotide long non-coding RNA is filed under the name Equus caballus (horse). RNAcentral describes it as "lncRNA (ENSECAG00000049186.1)". Lineage: Eukaryota; Metazoa; Chordata; Mammalia; Perissodactyla; Equidae. The record is from RNAcentral.